RNAcentral lists this ribosomal RNA (460 nucleotides) under uncultured bacterium. RNAcentral's name for it is "partial 16S ribosomal RNA". It matches the Rfam family "Bacterial small subunit ribosomal RNA", at positions 338 to 795 of the family's 1533-position model. The record is from RNAcentral.
CCUACGGGAGGCAGCAGUGAGGAAUAUUGGUCAAUGGGCGUAAGCCUGAACCAGCCAAGUCGCGUGAGGGAUGAAGGUUCUAUGGAUCGUAAACCUCUUUUAUAAGGGAAUAAAGUCUGGGGUGUGUCCUGUUUUGUAUGUACCUUAUGAAUAAGGAUCGGCUAACUCCGUGCCAGCCGCCGCGGUACUACGGAGGAUCCGAGCGUUAUCCGGAUUUAUUGGGUUUAAAGGGUGCGUAGGCGGCCUUUUAAGGCAGCGGUGAAAGUCGGUGGCUCAACCAUAGAAUUGCCGUUGAAACUGGGAGGCUUGAGUAUGGUUGAGGCAGGCGGAAUGCGUGGUGUAGCGGUGAAAUGCUUAGAGAUCACGCAGAACCCCGAUGGCGAAGGCAGCCUGCCAGGCCAUGACUGACGCUGAUGCACGAAAGCGUGGGGAGCAAACAGGAUUAGAUACCCCAGUAGUC